GACGGUGAGCGGGAGACUUUGGAACCCCGCCUGUGAUCUCACUCCCUUCUACUUGUUGUGGUGUCGUGGACUUUGACUCCAUCCAAGGCCUGUCGCUUUUAUUUUGACCAUGUAUCAGAUUCGGUGUCACAUACUCCAUCACCAAGUACAAAAUCAGUAGGUUUUGAUCAGGUUCAAGCCCUCCACAAUCUCUGAUGGCAUAUUCUUUUGGGAUUUUAUAUUUUAGUAUUGUUUUUUCCCCUUAAAUUGGGUGGAUUAAUUAUGCUAAUAAGGAGAAAUCAAAC
Molecule: long non-coding RNA, 284 nt
Filed under: Elaeis guineensis (African oil palm)
Lineage: Eukaryota; Viridiplantae; Streptophyta; Magnoliopsida; Arecales; Arecaceae
Description: long non-coding RNA (EGUI_LNC015476)
Source: RNAcentral